This 311-nucleotide non-coding RNA is filed under the name Otolemur garnettii (small-eared galago). The record is from RNAcentral. Lineage: Eukaryota; Metazoa; Chordata; Mammalia; Primates; Galagidae.
GCCGGGCAUGGUGGCUCGCCCCUGUAAUCCCAGCACUUUGGGAGGGUGAGGCAGGAGGAUUGCUUGAGGUCAGGAAUUUUGAGACCAGCCUAAGCAAGUGAGACCUCAUCUCUACAAAAAUAGAAAACGUUAGCUGGGUGUAGUGGCUUAUGCCUAAUCCCAGCUACUCAGGAGGCUAAAGCAGAAGGUGGUGGUGCCACUGAACCACCAAAUUUGCCACCAUGCCCAGCUUUUUUAUUUUUUGUAGAGAUAGGGUCUUACUAUUUUGCCCAAGUAGGUCUCAAACUCCUAGGCUCAAGCAGUCCUCCUGC